RNAcentral lists this long non-coding RNA (216 nucleotides) under Ananas comosus (pineapple). Its description in RNAcentral is "long non-coding RNA (ACOM_LNC022639)". The record is from RNAcentral. Lineage: Eukaryota; Viridiplantae; Streptophyta; Magnoliopsida; Poales; Bromeliaceae.
ACGAAUGUUCCAAUAAGGAACGGAUAUCAAUCCAGAUUGCAUAAGGAAGUAUCAAAUACAUAAUCUACUUGCUAUUACAAGAAUUCAUUUCACAAUCACGUUAUACAUCACAGUUUUAGUUUACAUUUUUACUUCCAAAUUACAAUCUUACUAUUACAUCAGAGUUUGAUACAUUUUCUUUUCUUGUCUUCUAGACCCCUAAGCUAGACUGUCUCA